GUGCUAUACAUGCAGUCGAGCGGACAGACGGGAGCUUGCUCCCUGAUGUUAGCGGCGGACGGGUGAGUAACACGUGGGUAACCUGCCUGUAAGACUGGGAUAACUCCGGGAAACCGGGGCUAAUACCGGAUGCUUGUUUGAACCGCAUGGUUCAAACAUAAAAGGUGGCUUCGGCUACCACUUACAGAUGGACCCGCGGCGCAUUAGCUAGUUGGUGAGGUAACGGCUCACCAAGGCAACGAUGCGUAGCCGACCUGAGAGGGUGAUCGGCCACACUGGGACUGAGACACGGCCCAGACUCCUACGGGAGGCAGCAGUAGGGAAUCUUCCGCAAUGGACGAAAGUCUGACGGAGCAACGCCGCGUGAGUGAUGAAGGUUUUCGGAUCGUAAAGCUCUGUUGUUAGGGAAGAACAAGUACCGUUCGAAUAGGGCGGUACCUUGACGGUACCUAACCAGAAAGCCACGGCUAACUACGUGCCAGCAGCCGCGGUAAUACGUAGGUGGCAAGCGUUGUCCGGAAUUAUUGGGCGUAAAGGGCUCGCAGGCGGUUUCUUAAGUCUGAUGUGAAAGCCCCCGGCUCAACCGGGGAGGGUCAUUGGAAACUGGGGAACUUGAGUGCAGAAGAGGAGAGUGGAAUUCCACGUGUAGCGGUGAAAUGCGUAGAGAUGUGGAGGAACACCAGUGGCGAAGGCGACUCUCUGGUCUGUAACUGACGCUGAGGAGCGAAAGCGU
RNAcentral lists this ribosomal RNA (733 nucleotides) under Bacillus sp. CSu1_12. RNAcentral describes it as "bacterial SSU rRNA". It matches the Rfam family "Bacterial small subunit ribosomal RNA", at positions 44 to 762 of the family's 1533-position model. Lineage: Bacteria; Bacillati; Bacillota; Bacilli; Caryophanales; Bacillaceae. The record is from RNAcentral.